This 286-nucleotide ribosomal RNA is filed under the name uncultured bacterium. RNAcentral describes it as "partial 16S ribosomal RNA". It matches the Rfam family "Bacterial small subunit ribosomal RNA", at positions 29 to 293 of the family's 1533-position model. The record is from RNAcentral.
AACGAACGCUGGCGGCGUGGAUAAGACAUGCAAGUCGGACGCUGAUUUCAGGGUAGCAAUAUUCUGGAGUCGGAGUGGCGCAAGGGUGCGUAACACGUGGGUAAUUUGCCGUGAAGCCUGGGAUAACUUGCUGAAAGGCGAGCUAAUACCGGAUGUGAUUAUCGGGGGGCAUCUCCUGAACCUUAAAGUUGGGGACCGUAAGGCCUGACACUUCACGAUAAGCCCGCCGGCCAUCAGCUAGUUGGUGAGGUAACGGCUCACCAAGGCUAAGACGGGUAGCUGGUCU